Molecule: ribosomal RNA, 8479 nt
Filed under: Triticum aestivum (bread wheat)
Lineage: Eukaryota; Viridiplantae; Streptophyta; Magnoliopsida; Poales; Poaceae
Description: partial small subunit ribosomal RNA
Source: RNAcentral
UAAGUAAGAGGAGAGGAGAGAAAGCAAGGGGGUAGGGUAGGUCUAGGGCCCCUUCUUCCCGCGCGCCCCCUCCGGUCUAGCCGCCGCGUUUUGGGUCGCGUUGUCUCACCGCCGAGUGCGAGCUGGCGCCCCAACACAGCCCUCCCCGCCUCUACCGGUCUAGGCCGCCGCGCCACCCACUCCGCCGAGCGCGAACUGGGAAUACCAGACACCCCUUCCCUCUUUACUGGUCUACGGCUCCGUCGCGCCACGAACGCGCGCUGGAGUCCGACGUGCCCCUCCCACCUCUUCCGGCCCGGUUUAAGCACGCACGACGCUCCUUCCUCUUCUGGUGCUCGCUGCUCGCUGCUCUCCUCCGAUGACCUGCGCGCGCCGUCCGCCCACUCUCCGCUACGGCUGCUGCGUGGUCAUCUCUCUGCGUAGAACUUUUCGUUCCGUCCUCUACCGUUAAACGAAAGUGUCGUUUGACGAGUAAGUACUUUCUACACCUUGACGGUGUCAUCCACAAACGUGUGACUCGACAACUGGGUUUCGUACUCUACUAUAUUUGUAUUGAACGAGUCCCCGUCGAUUGUAAACCUUCAUGAACAACGUAACAGACUAGGUCGGGUGUCCUAGUCACGGUAGUUUAAAACCCUUAAGGUCGAAACCAGGAAAUACAACCUUACGUCCACAUCCUCCAGAUCAACCUAAACGGUGUCCUCACAGAAGGAGUGGUCAGUUUAGACAUCAGACUUUUGGACCCCCUUUGGAUGAGUACAAUUGGGACUGGUCUCUAUGUAGUGGAGCUUCGUGGAGACUUAGGACAACGUUACGCGGCUUUAGCAGGAAGUACCUGUUCUGUAGGACCCGGUUUAAGCACGCACGACGCUCCUUCCUCUUCUGGUGCUCGCUGCUCGCUGCUCUCCUCCGAUGACCUACGCGCGCCGUCCGUCCACUCUCCGCUACGGCUGCUGCGUGGUCAAUCUCUCUGUGUAGAACUUUUCGUUCCUAACUUCUAAUAACUGUGUUUUUGAAGACGUUAAUUCUCUUCCUCGGCCGGCGAAGAGUCGAUAAACCUAUAAACUCGGCAAGGUACGUUAGACGGUUGGACUGCACGGGAAUAGUUCCGGCCGGCAAAAAUGUGGCGUUCCCUAUUUUUGGUCGCGGCCUGCUUUGGAUCGGUAGCGGAGCGUGAGCACGGGGAGGGGAAGCGUGAAAGUCGACGGCGGCGACGGUACGAGGGUGGGAAGAGGAGGGCACCGGAGAACAGCGACCCGGCGUACCGACGCCGCCAGCUGGAGGAGGAGCCGCGAGUUAUUAGUGUGCCAUCCCGCUCGUGCUCGACAGACUGUUGUCGUGGUCUCCCGCGGAGGUGUCCCAACCUGUUCUCCUAGACUCCACUCGGGUAGGGGGAGCGGAACAGGAACACAUGAGCAAGAACGACGAACACGCGGCCAACCAGGUGACACACGCCCACGAGCACCAAGACCAGCCAAGGAGGACGGCGCAGAAGUCAGUGGCGAGACGUCGAAGUCUUCGUGGUCGCUAAUACACUUAACCGAAACCACAAAUUGUUUUCAAUAAUCCCUCUACCUCGUCAAGGUCGUCUCUCAAUCAACAGAAGGUCUAGACAAGGACAGGGGCAAAGAAGGAGCACGCUCGGUAAAGGUGGCCGGACAAGAAGCGGACACGAAGGUCACUGGUACAGACGGUUCGAGGAUUACCCACUCGAAGAAGAGGAGAGAAGGAUAUCACCAGAUCGAUCCGAGAAGAUCUCACUUGACUUACGAAAGACAACCGACCUGAAAAGGAAGUGUUUGUCCCGUAAUAGAAGUUAAGCAGGUGUUUCAUUAGCCAUAUAUUUUCUAUUGAUCGUUUUUUCGGACACGCAACGUUGCCCUCUUUUUUGUAUUGUGUGCGAGAAUUGGGUUGUUGGUAGUUUGUACUAAAAAAAAAUGAAACUCUUCAACAAAAACUUACUCUUAUAAAAAAAUUUACCUUAGAAAAAAUACCGCUACUUGUAAAGAACUUUAACACUUGGUAAAAUCAAACCACAAGUUCAACUAUAAUCGGUUUGAUACUACAGUUAGAGGAGAAAUCUACUAAUACGGAAUUUAGUACCACCAUUAAAAAUUUGCAUACACAAAACCACCGCCACCAAAUAAUACGUGAGCAGACUUGCGGACCUCUGUUAAAUAUAGGCAACCGCCAAUCCAAUAUACAAAAGCUAUACACAUAGGAUUUGACACAUAUAUAGAAUCAGAAGAUAUAUCAAAAGUGUCGAAUUAUCAGUCAGUCAUACUAAAGUACUCCUGUGUUUGUUUGGAUUUAAGUUUAGAACAUUGUUUUUAUGGUUCGUAGUAUAGGCCGUUGUUCACGUAUAUCCAAGUCUCUCGUUGAUGUACGCACAUGCACCACUGAGCCUCUAUAAAAGGGGUGGUACUUGCUAGGUUUGUUUUAGUUUAAGAUUAAUUUUUUUGUAAAUAGAAAAAGCUCUGUUUUUUUUGUGCAAUAGAUAUAGUCAAAUUGCAACCGACUAACGAUUCUUUGGUCGUCGGAGCGACCACAAGGUGCGCAGACUUGUGUAGUCGAAGGGGGACGCGUGUACUGAGCACAGGUCGUCGGGGUGCGUGGCGACGGAGGUAUGCUGGAAUAGAAGAACGGACCAGCCGAAAGGGCUAGGGGUAAGGUAGAAGGGGAACGCGGCAGACACGGUGGUAAAUAGAGAGUUAGCGGCGAGGAGGAAGUUGUCGUGGUACGGAUUAUCCGAGCAGAGAGAGCGCCGGGCCGGCGGCCUCGAGCGGUACGAGAAGACACUCUCCCCCUCUACUAUCACGACGUUCCGCUGUCGGUGGUACCAACGCCCUGCUACCGUAAAGGGCCGCCGCCGCGACGCCCUACAACGUUCCGCCGCUGCCCGGUGCCGCUCUCCGCACGAUGCUGUCGCAGCUGUUGGUGCCUCCACGGCGCUCCGACGCCACUACGAAGUUAAAGGCACCGAUGCGACCCACGACUCGACGCGAGGUUCCCGCCGGCGGCCACGAUGCUGGUGGGCGGCCACCGACGCAACGAUGCUCCGGCCGGGCCACUAAAGGGUUGAGAUAAAAGAACCAACGAGACUACACGUGGCUGUUCGCCAGGACGGCUCCAGCAGGCUACAUGCCGAUUACACUCCGGUGGCCUCGACGCCCUGACCGUGCCCGGCGUGCCGACGACGGCCCUGCUGUUGUUUGCCCCGUCGCUGCGGGCCCGGAGCCGGGAAAAAAACCAAGGAAGGAGACAGAGAGAAGAGGACUCGACCCCGUACGUGCGUAUACAGCAUAACUAGAAGGCUCUACAAAAACAGAAACGCCGUCCAGAACGGGUGUAAGAAUAAACUAAGGGAAAGAAGAUGAUAAAAAGAAGUCUCUCUACCGGUACCGGCGAGCUACGGGCUCGCGGCGGCCGGUUCCUGGGCGAGCGUAGGUCUGGGAGAGGUACGUUAGGGGUAGAGCGGCCUCUGGACUUGGUUCAGGGUAGGUCACGGGCACGGUAAGAAGUGGGAGGGCGGGGCGUCGAGGCAUCGGGCUCGCGAAGUCGGCGGAGUGCGGGCUUCGUCUCCUCUCCUCGAGGGACGGUGCUCGGAGAGGUCACGGCCGUUUGGUCCGGCUGGGGCGGAGGAAGAGCGAAGCAUUCUUUAGUAUACCCAAAAAGACAUUUUACGUUUUUUUUACUAAGCAAGAAUGAAUUUUGUCCUGACGCCGACUUUGUCUCACUACAAAUACGUUUUAGCGAUCGCUGCUGCCUGCUGUCUUUGGGUUAAAAGAAAUAAUAAUAAUCCAUUUCCAUUUCUAAUUUCACCGAUUCGAUCUCCGUUGCGGCACGCAAGGGUCGCGGAGCGCAGUAGCGAGGGCAAUUAUCUGUGCACAGGGACAGAAAAAAGGACCAAGUGACGGUUAAACGUCGGACAAAAAAACCCGACCAGACCAGCGAGAUAGGAAGGAAAGAAAAAAAAAACCGGCCAGACCAGCGAGAUAGGAAGGAAAAGAAAGAAGAUCUCUCUUGCUCUCUCCCGGUCCCUCUUUAUUUCCCCUCGCCCGUGGCGACGGAGGUGUGCAGGCAGGGAUCGUCGGGGCGCUGGUCCGGCGGCGGCGGCGGCGGCGUCGAGGGAGGGGAAGAGGGCGGAGGGGAGGGAGGGGGAAAGGUGGAACUAAACAGGUGUCUCCCGCGCUGAUGUUUGGGAUCCGGACCAGGAACUCCAACAAGCCCGAGCCACCUUUGUCGCCCGUCACGUAGUUGCUACUAGUUCGCGUCGUCCUGCCGCGGUCGAGUACGCAUUACCGAGCGGGAGAAGUGGUGUCGGGGGGAGGAGAGAGGGUGCCGUCACGUGCCCUUUGUCGUAGCAGUCACGGGGUUCUGCCCUAGCUCUCAGGGAAUUAGUGAAGAAAGCAGGACCCAACCCAACACGGUUCCCAGCCUGCAGUGGAGCGACGACGAUCCGUUCAACCUAACUAGGGCACUUCGAUGAGGGGUCGAAGAGGUGUUUUCGGUGAUUCAUAAACGGAGAGAUAAAAGAAAAGUAUUAAUUUAUGACAGUGACAUACCUAUUGAGAAUAACACCUUUCUCGAUAAAUGAGAUAUUACCUAUCCAUCUCGGUUUCUUUUAUGUACGAAAUUAGUCAUGUACUAAACGUCGAGACAGUACGUAUGAAUAUCCUUAUACUCAUAACCUACCAACCCUUAAAUUCCUAUACUUUAUGACAGAUGUGUAUAGUAAACUUCACAACAAGGACUUUGUAAUAUUAGUAAUACGAUGUUAUCUAUCUUAAAAAGUCGUCUUUCUUCCACGUAUAAGAAAAGGUAUACAAAAUAAUUAUUCGUAGUUAGAAGAGACAAGAUACGCCUUACCAGGAUACUAGUAAACGAAAAUACAUAUCUUCAGUUCAGAACAGUGCAUCUUUCUACUAUAGUAGCUACACGAUAUAAAGGGUCAGUCGUUUUAUCUUUUACUUCGAUCGAUCUUUCCAACAAACUACCUGCCUUCCCCUGGAGGUGGCAGCGGUAAGAAGAGGGAGGGGCUGGAGGGCAGCAGCACGAGAUGUCUAGACCAGUACCGGUGUUGGCUGCAUCGAAGGGGCCGGUGGUGGCUGCUGCGGUCGCUCCACCGGUGCCACCAGCGACGGCUUAGGUACCUCCUCGAGUGGGUCCGGAAGAGGAACAAAAUGAGGUGCCGACCCAGAGUGGGGCCUAGGUACCUCCUGGUCACGAUAGAUCGAUGCGUUAGGGUAGAUUCCGUUUCGUAGAUCUUAAAAAACAUGCUCAGUUAAAAUAUGUCUUAUAUAGAUCCUCCUUCAUUAUAUACUCAAAAGAAAAUUGAAGGACGAGAACGAAUGAGGUCAUAGAACAAACAACUGUUUCCUUAGUUGGUUGUAAGGGGACGUCUACCGUAGGGUGUGGCAUAAAAAGACAUAGUACGUAUACUUUCCUUAAAAAAUUUAUGAUUAUGUGUCUAAAGAGAAAUGGGGAAGACUUUAAAAUCGAACAUAUAGAACGAACCACUUUUCUAUAAUACAGUAGGAUGUGACAUGAAAGGACUUUGCACGUAUACUUUCCUUAGAGAGUUUAUGAUUUUGUGUCUAUAAAGAGAAAUGGCCAAGACAUCAAAAUCGAAGAUUCUUUACGUGUUGAUGAUAGAUUUGGUAAUUUCCAUUUAAAGAUUCGUUCGAUUUCGACAACGAAGAGUUCUUAUACGAUAAAACGUUUAGGUUUCAAGUCAAUCUCUUCUAUUUACAACAUGCCCCAAGAACCUUACCUGAUUCAAUAGAAAAAUACAGUUGUCAGAAUCUACUAAAGGGAGACAACAUGUUAGUAAACCCAACAAAAACGUAUCAUACACGUACGAACUAUCCUUAUUGAUCGAGAGUCUAUUAAGAACCACUCCGUACAGUCGUACUGCAGGUAAGGAGCACAUUUAUUGACUUAAACCGUAAACGUUACAUAAGAUACUCGUACACAUGUCCGGAACAAUCGAUCUAUUUAAAAGGGACUAACAACAAUCGCCGGACUAGUGGACAAUACGAUGGGUAACAGAUUUACCUCCCGCUUAGAAGAAAGACUAAGAACCUCUUAAUUUAUAUGAUAGCUCUGUAAGUGUUUCCCGCAGGGACUACGUUCCUACAUGAACUUAUGAGUCCUCUGUUCCCUUUUAACAUAUACAAUGGAUUUAUCCCAAAGGUACAAUAAAUAAAUAAACACGACGAAAACACGUCGUUAAUCUAAAACACUGUGAUUAUAACAACAAACAACGUCCGUGCCAUAAGUGUUAUCGCAGGAUAAAGUUGCCGAGUUUGACAACCAGGAGCGUACCGUUACAAGGGACGGCCACAAGCACCUCAACCAGAUGUUGUUAAAAUACCGGUCGUUGGAAGUUGCAAAUAAUUGGGUGAUGUCUAUAUCUCUUUCUUCUCUUCUUCUUAUUGGAACUUCUAAAACCACUUCUUGUUCCUCCAAGUCGGCCACCAGCUUCUGUUAGUUCUACUCGACCAACAUGAUCUCUUUUUACGGUAAGUUGUCAGAAGUCAAGUCACAUGGUCGGUUUAUUCUCCAGAGAUCUGUUUUCAAGUCGAAGGGUCAAUUCGAGACAUAACUGUUGGAGUGACCGGAGUUCCUUGACCGACACUCGACGUUGUUAACAUGAUCGACCGACGUGUAUAACUCAUGUACUGGUUGUAAAGAAUGUGGAGGUCUUGUGUAGUAGGUUCGUGUCAAAAGAACGCUUUUCUUACGGGUUAUCGUGAAACCCCAUUUAAUGAACUCUUCUGUUGUUGGUAUCGUCGAAACCGACAUCGUUACCUUUUGUCAAGGUGUAGAAGGGUUACAGUUUGUCUUCUUUUGAGGUCCCGGCCUGGUACACACUUUACAGCUCGUCUAAGGGUUAUCUCAUACACUUUACGAAGUAUUAAUACUGCCUCUUCUAUAACAAGAAACGUGGACAACACGACGUCACACUGUUAAAAUGGAACAACGGAGUUUAUCUUAUGGAAACUACCUUGCAGGAGGUGAAUUCGUGUAUUUACAUUGAGUCUAACACACGUGGCAGUGUUCUACGUUGCUAUUGUGACUUUCAACCGAGCAGUAAGUGACACAACACGUACAUGUCUUAUUUACCCACUACCUGAACCGAGUUACUAAAGUAAAGACGGGUUGUAUUAGCGUACCGGACUAAUGGACGACGUGUUGGUACUUUCGCGAAGAGACUGAAGAGAAGAGGCUAUCUAAAGAAAUGCUGUAUUGUUACAUGUGUGACAAGGGGUCUAUAUAAAAUUAACUACAGAUGGUAAAUCUUUUAACCAGUAGUCUCUUGAUCCACGUUGGAAUGAGGUUUUAUCCAAGUCUUCUCUUGGCUGUCGGUUCUGAACGUAUUCUUAAAGUUACGGUACAGCAAGUUGUCUUUUUUCUCGACGUCUUUCACGUGAACGACCGACGUGAUAUAGCCUGUUGGUAAAGUAUUCGGAGCUCUCAUGUAGUCGGUCUGUGGUGUAGUGUGACAUUAACGCAUCUCGUAACUAUUCCUAUGAUGAUCCUCUCACACUCUCUACUGAGUGCUUAACGUCGCGGAAGCUUAGACAACACAGUUCUCAAUGAAGAUACCUGCUUGUCCCUUGGUGUUAGGACAAGCUACCGUACCACCGUGAUCCACCGCCAAGCCGUUAUCGCGGCGCUCGACAUGAACACACGAGUAGUUACUUACUGUCGGUACCGCUUCCAGACUCAUGAACGGGAACAACGAACUAUGCACCUCAGUGUGGAUCGACUUUGCACCCAAAGUCGUGCGGUUACAGCAGUAGUUUCGUAUUCCAGCGCGUGGAACAGCCGCGGUACCACAGGUUGAGCUCUUGCCUUUUACCGGCGAGGCCAUCCAGACCACGACAGUGACCUCCUCAACACCUCCUACCGCAGUGUGAGGUGUCCUGUAGUUCGAGCCCCCUCUGCAGCCACUCCCAGAGGCAUCCGCACUCCGGCACUUGGGGUACCAGUUUCGGUAGCAGUUAGAGGAGUCGUAGGUGGCGGAGUAGGAAGUACUAAACAAGGAGGCUCGUUCCCUGCUACGAGACCACUACGACCUCUCGCUAACGCUGGCGUGCUGACGAACUUAUAGGCACACGUUCGGGAGCUCCAUGACCACCUGCUUCGUGAACUACUAAUCCCACCCCAACUCUAGAUCAUGCGCUACAUGCACAAGGGUAUUACAACAGCACAUGAGCCGGUGCUAACGUCAGAUGAAAUCGGGCUCGUCGCUCGUGUUCGCGUACAACAUGAAGCCGCUGUGCAGGACCUACAGUUCCUACGUCCGUGCGAGCAUCUACGUGGCGGGUACGUUUCGCUCUCGGGCGCGACGAGGCGCAGAACUAGCUUCAACUUGGUGGCGCAGGUGUACUAACUAAGAAACCUUGUGCCUCUAGAAGUGGUGUGGUAUACGACGUUUGUGGACGACGUCGUCGUAGAGGAGUCACUGGCC